CCCCUUCUCUACCCCGUCUCCUGGGGGCCGCCGCCGUCGCAGCCUCAGUGUCCCCCCAACGCGUCCUGCACCGGAGCUCCAGCCGUCCCUCUUCACGCGCACUCCUUCGUUCGCUGGCUCACGGGCAGGAAAACAACGGAAGGAGCGCGAGGUGAACUAGGCAGUACCCCGGCUGCGCCAUGAGCAAUCAGUUGAGGAGGUAAGGUGGGGGCCGGCUCCCCCCCUCAGGCUCUUUUAACGGAUCCGAGAGCAGGGCGUCAUCAUUCCGCGACUGCCCCGCCUUCCGCGUGCGCCCGACAGCGUAUCACAGGCUUCCUCCAAAACUCCGCCCCUUUCUCUCUGGAGUUGAGACCAAGCCGGGUAUCCCAAACUACUAGUAGGAGGGAGCGAAGCGGCCGGGGUUGGGUGGGGUGGUGAAAGGGGUGUCCUCCCAAGUCCUUCAUCCCCCUGGGAGAGGGCGGAGCUCGGGCAGGUCCAUCACUUUCGCGGAAGGGGGGAAGUGCUGUCCAACUCACUUUGGGAAGUGUGCGGAGCUUGGGCCUGCCCACCUCAUUCUCGGGAGGGAGGGGGUCUUAGUCUUGCUCAACUCGCACCGCCGAGGGCGGAGCUUGGGCUUGAACCUCAAGGGAGCUCGGGAGGUUUCCCUUCGUACUUAAGAUGUGCUCCCCUCCUACGCUGGGAUCUGCAUGGGAAGCAUCUGGGAGUCCUCUGACUCAGCCUGUGCUCUCCACACAGGGAUCCCUAAGGCCAUUGAGAUGGUCCAGGGGACAUCUGUUUUUACCAUGAAGACUUCUGGUAAGUAGUGUUUAGUUCCCUCCUUGAUCUAACCCUAGUGUAACUUAGGUCAGAAGCUGAGUUUGGGAAUCAUUUCUUCAAAGGUUGCAUUAAGUACUAUAUUUAAUUAGCUUGUGUAUAGAAAAUCUGAAUUUGGAUGAGUUAUCAAAUUAUAUGGGGUGGGGUUAUUUUAAGGAACAAUCUGAUUAUCUAGUAAGAGUGAAUUUUUCUAGUGACUCUUAGCUUAUUUUGGAAACUAGAGCCCAACACAGAUUUAAGCCAACACAUUCAUUAUUGUUUAUCUUUUAACACUUGAAACAUUUAGCACAGGGUAUUAUGGAUUCCUGCAAAAAUAGUAGUGGAAACAAAGUAUAAGUCAUUACAAUAAAAGAAAACUUUAAUGAGAAGUUAUUUGCCA
Molecule: long non-coding RNA, 1192 nt
Filed under: Phascolarctos cinereus (koala)
Lineage: Eukaryota; Metazoa; Chordata; Mammalia; Diprotodontia; Phascolarctidae
Description: lncRNA (ENSPCIG00000037111.1)
Source: RNAcentral